This 469-nucleotide ribosomal RNA is filed under the name uncultured bacterium. RNAcentral describes it as "partial 16S ribosomal RNA". It matches the Rfam family "Bacterial small subunit ribosomal RNA", at positions 28 to 507 of the family's 1533-position model. The record is from RNAcentral.
GACGAACGCUGGCGGCGUGCUUAACACAUGCAAGUCGAACGGAAAGGCCCUGCUUGCAGGGUGCUCGAGUGGCGAACGGGUGAGUAACACGUGGGUGAUCUGCCCCUUACUUUGGGAUAAGCCUGGGAAACUGGGCCUAAUACUGGAUAGGACCAUGCUGUAGGUGGUGUGGUGGAAAGAUUAGUUUCGGUAAGGGAUGAGCUCGCGGCCUAUCAGCUUGUUGGUGGGGUAAUGGCCUACCAAGGCGUCGACGGGUAGCCGGCCUGAGAGGGUGGACGGCCACAUUGGGACUGAGAUGCGGCCCAGACUCCUACAGGAGGCAGCAGUGGGGAAUAUUGCACAAGAGGCGCAAGCCUGAUGCAGCGACGCCGCGUGGAGGAUGACGGCCUUCGGGUUGUAAACACCUUUCAGCCAUGACGAAGCCCUUGUGGUGACGGUAGUGGUAGAAGAAGCACCGGCUAACUACGUG